ACGGGUGAGUAACACGUGGGCAACCUACCUUAUCGACUGGGAUAACUCCGGGAAACCGGGGCUAAUACCGUAUAACAUCUAGCACCUCCUGGUGCCGGAUUAAAAGAGGGCUUCUUGCUCUCACGAUGAGAUGGGCCCGCGGCGCAUUAGCUAGUUGGAGAGGUAAUGGCUCCCCAAGGCGACGAUGCGUAGCCGACCUGAGAGGGUGAUCGGCCACACUGGGACUGAGACACGGCCCAGACUCCUACGGGAGGCAGCAGUAGGGAAUCUUCCGCAAUGGACGAAAGUCUGACGGAGCAACGCCGCGUGAGUGAUGAAGGGUUUCGGCUCGUAAAGCUCUGUUAUGAGGGAAGAACACGUACCGUUCGAAUAGGGCGGUACCUUGACGGUACCUCAUCAGAAAGCCACGGCUAACUACGUGCCAGCAGCCGCGGUAAUACGUAGGUGGCAAGCGUUGUCCGGAAUUAUUGGGCGUAAAGCGCGCGCAGGCGGCCUUUUAAGUCUGAUGUGAAAUCUUGCGGCUCAACCGCAAGCGGCCAUUGGAAACUGGGAGGCUUGAGUACAGAAGAGGAGAGUGGA
RNAcentral lists this ribosomal RNA (579 nucleotides) under uncultured bacterium. Its description in RNAcentral is "bacterial SSU rRNA". It matches the Rfam family "Bacterial small subunit ribosomal RNA", at positions 102 to 665 of the family's 1533-position model. The record is from RNAcentral.